RNAcentral lists this ribosomal RNA (411 nucleotides) under uncultured bacterium. Its description in RNAcentral is "bacterial SSU rRNA". It matches the Rfam family "Bacterial small subunit ribosomal RNA", at positions 505 to 916 of the family's 1533-position model. The record is from RNAcentral.
GUGCCAGCAGCCGCGGUAAUACGUAGGCUCCAAGCGUUGUUCGGAAUUACUGGGCGUAAAGCGAGUGUAGGCGGUUUGCCAAGUCGAUUGUGAAAUCUCCCGGCUCAACUGGGAGGGUGCGGUCGAUACUGGCAAGCUAGAGUACGGAAGAGGAAGGUAGAAUUCCUGGUGUAGCGGUGGAAUGCGUAGAUAUCAGGAGGAAUGCCAGAGGUGAAGACGGCCUUCUGGACCGUAACUGACGCUGAGACUCGAAAGCGUGGGGAGCAAACAGGAUUAGAUACCCUGGUAGUCCACGCCCUAAACGAUGCAUACUUGGUGUGGGCUCUUCACUGAGUCCGUGCCGGAGCUAACGCGUUAAGUAUGCCGCCUGGGGAGUACGGUCGCAAGGCUGAAACUCAAAGAAAUUGGCGG